GGGGUACUCGAGUGGCGAACGGGUGAGUAACACGUGGGUGAUCUGCCCUGCACUUUGGGAUAAGCCUGGGAAACUGGGUCUAAUACCGAAUAGGACCGCGCUGCUUCAUGGGGUGUGGUGGAAAGCUUUUGCGGUGUGGGAUGGGCGCCGCGGCCUAUCAGCUUGUUGGUGGGGUAAUGGCCUACCAAGGCGACGACGGGUAGCCGGCCUGAGAGGGUGACCGGCCACACUGGGACUGAGAUACGGCCCAGACUCCUACGGGAGGCAGCAGUGGGGAAUAUUGCACAAUGGGCGCAAGCCUGAUGCAGCGACGCCGCGUGAGGGAUGACGGCCUUCGGGUUGUAAACCUCUUUCAAUAGGGACGAAGCGCAAGUGACGGUACCUAUAGAAGAAGGACCGGCCAACUACGUGCCAGCAGCCGCGGUAAUACGUAGGGUCCGAGCGUUGUCCGGAAUUACUGGGCGUAAAGAGCUCGUAGGUGGUUUGUCGCGUUGUUCGUGAAAACUCACAGCUUAACUGUGGGCGUGCGGGCGAUACGGGCAGACUAGAGUACUGCAGGGGAGACUGGAAUUCCUGGUGUAGCGGUGGAAUGCGCAGAUAUCAGGAGGAACACCGGUGGCGAAGGCGGGUCUCUGGGCAGUAACUGACGCUGAGGAGCGAAAGCGUGGGGAGCGAACAGGAUUAGAUACCCUGGUAGUCCACGCCGUAAACGGUGGGUACUAGGUGUGGGUUUCCUUCCUUGGGAUCCGUGCCGUAGCUAACGCAUUAAGUACCCCGCCUGGGGAGUACGGCCGCAAGGCUAAAACUCAAAGGAAUUGACGGGGGCCCGCACAAGCGGCGGAGCAUGUGGAUUAAUUCGAUGCAACGCGAAGAACCUUACCUGGGUUUGACAUGCACAGGACGCCAGUAGAGAUAUUGGUUCCCUUGUGGCCUGUGUGCAGGUGGUGCAUGGCUGUCGUCAGCUCGUGUCGUGAGAUGUUGGGUUAAGUCCCGCAACGAGCGCAACCCUUGUCUCAUGUUGCCAGCACGUUAUGGUGGGGACUCGUGAGAGACUGCCGGGGUCAACUCGGAGGAAGGUGGGGAUGACGUCAAGUCAUCAUGCCCCUUAUGUCCAGGGCUUCACACAUGCUACAAUGGCCGGUACAAAGGGCUGCGAUGCCGUGAGGUGGAGCGAAUCCUUUCAAAGCCGGUCUCAGUUCGGAUCGGGGUNUGCAACUCGACCCCGUGAAGUCGGAGUCGCUAGUAAUCGCAGAUCAGCAACGCUGCGGUGAAUACGUUCCCGGNCCUUGUACACACCGCCCGUCACGUCAUGAAAGUCGGUAACACCCGAAGCC
RNAcentral lists this ribosomal RNA (1334 nucleotides) under Mycobacterium sp. DWMJ-868B1. RNAcentral's name for it is "bacterial SSU rRNA". It matches the Rfam family "Bacterial small subunit ribosomal RNA", at positions 84 to 1428 of the family's 1533-position model. Lineage: Bacteria; Bacillati; Actinomycetota; Actinomycetes; Mycobacteriales; Mycobacteriaceae. The record is from RNAcentral.